GCCGGGCGUGGUGGCUCAUGCCUGUAAUCCCAGCUACUCAGGAGGCUGAGGCAGGAGAAUUGCUUGAAUCCGGGAGGUGGAGGUUGCAGUGAGCCAAGAUUGCGCCACUGCACUCCAGCCUGGGUGACAGAGUGAGACUCUGUCUCAA
Molecule: unclassified non-coding RNA, 148 nt
Organism: Pongo abelii (Sumatran orangutan)
Lineage: Eukaryota; Metazoa; Chordata; Mammalia; Primates; Hominidae
Rfam family: Metazoan signal recognition particle RNA
About the family: The signal recognition particle (SRP) is a universally conserved ribonucleoprotein. It is involved in the co-translational targeting of proteins to membranes.
Source: Ensembl